This 1243-nucleotide ribosomal RNA is filed under the name metagenome. Its description in RNAcentral is "bacterial LSU rRNA". It matches the Rfam family "Bacterial large subunit ribosomal RNA", at positions 1564 to 2817 of the family's 2925-position model. The record is from RNAcentral.
UGAGUACGAGACGCUAAGGCGUCGAAGUAGUGUAUGUCAUACUUCCAAGAAAAGCUUGCACUGUCAUAGAUAAAAAACGCCUGUACCAUAACCGACACAGGUGGGUAGGUAGAGUAUACUAAGGGGCGCGAGAUAACUCUCUCUAAGGAACUCGGCAAAAUAACUCCGUAACUUCGGGAGAAGGAGUGCCUUAUUCGUAAGGUUGCAAUAACAAGAUCCAAGCAACUGUUUAUCAAAAACACAGGUCUCCGCUAAGUCGUAAGACGAUGUAUGGGGGCUGACGCCUGCCCAGUGCCAGAAGGUUAAAGAAGUUGGUUAGCAAUUGCGAAGCUGGUAACUGAAGCCCUGGUGAACGGCGGCCGUAACCAUAACGGUCCUAAGGUAGCGAAAUUCCUUGUCGGGUAAGUUCCGACCCGCACGAAAGGCGUAAUGAUUUGGAUACUGUCUCGGAGAGGGGCUCGGUGAAAUAGACUUGUCUGUGAAGAUGCGGACUACCUGCACCAGGACAGAAAGACCCUAUGAAGCUUUACUGUAACUUGAAAUUGAAAUUGGACUUUAUUCGCGCAGUAUAGGUGGGAGGCGUUGAUUAUAAUCUCGUGGGAUUAUUGGAGCCAUUAGUGAGAUACCACUCUUGUAAUGUUAGAUUUCUAACUUUGAAUCAUUAUCUGGUCAAAGAACAGUUUCAGGCGGGCAGUUUGACUGGGGCGGUCGCCUCCCAAAUGGUAACGGAGGCGUACAAAGGUUUCCUCUGAACGGUUAGAAAUCGUAUCUAGAGUGUAAAGGCAUAAGGAAGCUUGACUGUGAGACCUACAAGUCGAGCAGGGACGAAAGUCGGUCUUAGUGAUCUGACGGUACUGAGUGGAAAGGCCGUCACUCAACGGAUAAAAGUUACUCUAAGGAUAACAGGCUGAUCUCCCCCAAGAGUUCACAUCGACGGGGAGGUUUGGCACCUCGAUGUCGGCUCAUCGCAUCCUGGGGCGGUAGUACGUCCCAAGGGUUAGGCUGUUCGCCCAUGAAAGCGGUACGCGAGCUGGGUUCAGAACGUCGUGAGACACUUCGGUCCAUAUCCGGUGUAGGCGUUAGAAUAUUGAGAGGAGCCUUCUUUAGUACGAGAGGACCGAGAAGGACAUACCUCUGGUGUACCAGUUAUCGUGCCAACGGUAAACGCUGGUAGCUAUGUAUGGAGUGGAUAACCGCUGAAAGUAUCUAAGUGGGAAGCCCACCUCAAGAUAAGUAUUCUCAC